Hemicordylus capensis (graceful crag lizard) is the source of this 453-nucleotide long non-coding RNA. RefSeq lists it as uncharacterized. NCBI's taxonomy places the organism in Eukaryota, Metazoa, Chordata, Lepidosauria, Squamata, Cordylidae. The record is from RefSeq and is a predicted model, not a curated record. The transcript has 3 exons.
GAACUUUGAACUAAAAAUCGCACAGAACAGGGAGCCACCUGCUAUGAAAACUCUGCUUGGGUGUGAAAUGGGGACAGACUGAAUAAAAGAAUUACUGCAAAGAAUCUAGAACAACCUGACUGCAAAUAAUGAAGAAGUGUAAGAGGUAAAAAACAGGAGAACCAAGUCCAGACAGAUGCCUCGAGGAAGUUUUCGAUCAGAGUUGUCUCCAGAUAUUGGUUGCAUCUGGUAUUCAGAGGUCUGCUACCUCAAACAUGAAGGUUGUUAUGAAGAUAAAGAAGAGGAAGAACCAAGGAUGAUAUCCUGAAUUUGCUGAAGAAAGAAGAGGAUAUAAAUGGAAGAAAUAAUCUUAUGAUAAGCAAUCAUCAUAAAUUGUCACUGGCUGACAUUCUCCACAGCCCUCUUUUCAUCACCUUCCUUCACCUAGAGAGCUGCAGAGAAUGUCAGCCACCA